Molecule: ribosomal RNA, 253 nt
Filed under: uncultured bacterium
Lineage: Bacteria
Description: partial 16S ribosomal RNA
Rfam family: Bacterial small subunit ribosomal RNA
Source: RNAcentral
GACGAACCGUGCAAACGUUGUUCGGAUUCACUGGGCUUAAAGGGCGCGUAGGCGGGCCAUCAAGUCAGGGGUGAAAUCUUUCGGCUCAACCGGAAAAGUGCCUUUGAUACUGGUGGUCUCGAGGGAGGUAGGGGCAUGCGGAACUUCCGGUGGAGCGGUGAAAUGCGUUGAUAUCGACCGGAACUCCGGUGGCGAAGGCGAGGUGCUGGACCCUUUCUGACGCUGAGGCGCGAAAGCCAGGGGAGCAAACGGG